GAGAGAGAGAGAGAGAGAGAGAGAGAGAGAGACGAGCCUGCCCCGCCGAGAGCGCAGCAGACAGGAGGGGAAUCUGGCACAACGGCUGAGAGAGGAAACUUGACGCUUCAGGGACACCAUUUGCCAGGGCCUCACUCGAGACGCCGAAAGGAGCCUGUUUUUGUACUGCGAUCGUCCUGUGACUCUGGAUCUUGUCUUCUGGCUGGCGCCUCAAUUCCUGCCAGCUGGAUUGGGGGGGCGACACUGCCUGGCGCAGGGACAGAGCGAAUGAGACUACAAAGAAGCAUAAAAUGAAUAGACAAUGCAACCAACCAAAGACCCGGGGCAGCAGCACGCCUACAGGACGGCAUCUUCUCCUCCCCAGCCUAGAAGCCCGGUGAAAUCGAGGAUCUUCCCCCCUAAAACACACACACACAAGAUAUAUGCAAUCAAGCUGCCACCGCUUGGUUAAAAAGCUCAUGGUGCCUAACCCAAAAGGAUCCGGAGCUGGUCCUUGAAUCAGCUGUCUCUUCUUCUAUAGAAUGGGAUGUUUUUUGUAUAUAUUUUUUUCCUUCCUCCUAAACCUGCGCUGGAAAUUGCCGUUGGCUUUAUACAUCUCUAUAGAGGGAGGAUAAAGAGUCUGGCGUGAGAAUGAAGCAAUUUACAAUGCAAAUAGAGGCCUGUGGAGGGACGGAUGCUGCUGCUCACUCGUAACCGCUUGCUGCACCUUAAUAGCUGGUUUUAUUUUCUGAUAUUAAUAGAUGAAUUGUUGCCUAACGCUGCCGGAGAUUACUUGCUGAAAGGAAAAAAAAAAAAAGUUCGGAAUAAACUUUGAAAGCAACGGCUCUCGUUUGGAUGUUUUAGCCGCACACACAAACAGAAACCAGGUCAAAUUUACAUACAAGGAGGAAUCUUGGGCUCGGCCAGUAUCUUGGAGGACUACUCUUCGGUACUGCCAGAAAGAUCGGGAUCUAGAGUCUGGCCUGAAGAAGACAGAGGCUGUGAGGGAAGCGAGUUGUUAUCUUUGGUUAUCUAGCUGUAUGAGUGUAUUGGUCUUCAUAAAGCUAGAUAACCGAAAGUAAAAACUCCUUCAAGAUCGCCCGGAGCGUGUGAGAACGAACUACAACCAAGAGACAGUAAAAACCGGAAAGGUCAGGAAUACUUAUUGAAUCUAACUUUGUUUUUGUGUUUGUUUUCUCCUUAUGAUGGAAGGUGGGAUUAGAGGAAAGUAAGUGACACAUUUGUGCCAAAACAUAAAGGUGAGGCUAUUUUGAGAGAGGUUGUUAUGCUGGUGUAUUUUGUCCUAAUUUAAGGCCAAAGUUAUAUAUAUAUAUAACUUUUUUAAUAUUUUUUUUCUUAGAAAGUUGUUGCAGAGAUGUCUUGUACCUAGUUUGAAAAUGAUUCCAUAAGUAUACAGACUUAGGCUGUUCCCUUCCCAGGCCCCUCACAUGAAAAUUUUAAAUAUUAUGCUUGGAAACUGCAUGUAUGUGGGUUGUAUGUCAAAUUACAUGAAAUUAGACUUUGAGAAAAGUUUAUAAUGAAAGGUUAAUUUGUAUCUACUGAGGACAUAGAGCUAGAAGGAAAAUGAAAAAAAAAAAAAGCAAAGGCUGAUUUUUAUUCUUCUAUUCAAAAUACAAGGACAGAUGCUUCUCUGUUCCAAGAGGGUUUCCUUGAGGAAGCUACUGAAGCAGAAAGACAUGAUGGAGACGAGAUCGCCUCCCCUCUUGUCAAAGUGUUAAAAAAAUGUUCUGUCUUACUCUGCGCCUAGCAUUGGAAAUGAAAGUGACAUUUACGCCACAACCCACGUGUGCGCCUUCUCUCUUUUUGUUUAAGGAUGAUCAGGUCUAUCCAGGAAACAGCUCUGGCAUCCUAAACUGAAAUAAUUAGGACGUAUAUAGACCUGACAAAAAUGGAAAGGGGGUGGGGAAUCUGAGGGUCUGUCUUGCCUAAUUGAUUCCGCUAAACGGAAUGCAGGAGAUGUGAACGGCAGGACGCUCCGAUUCCCACGCUCGGGGGCAAGUGGUAAAGCGGGCCCGGCAGCCUAUGACAGACAGCCCUGUUGGGGGGUGGGGGUAUGAAAAAAACAUCAAGUGCACACACCAUACUCAUCUCCAUCGCUUAAGAAAGUAGAGGCAUUUCCCACCCACAGCCAUCUGCAGCCUCCCAAAUGGCAGCACCAACUGGUCUGUAGCUGCUGCAUACUGUCUCUUUCUGUUAAUUUUAUAACCGCUGUUUAAUCUGGCCGUAAUUAAGUUUGGCUUUUUUCUUUGGUUGAGAUUUUCAAUAUUUAAGGAAAGCUAGAAGAAAACAGUUCCCCAAAAAAGUCCCAUUACUGUGCUCCUCCUAUCAAAUUCUCAGUCCCCUACUUUUGGCCUUGUUACCACUUUUUGGUUUUUUGCUUUGUGUGGGUUAUAUUUAAAAAUAUGUAUCUCUAUAUAACAGGCAUUAUGAUCACGUCAUCAGGCUGUUUACCUCUUAACGUGAUAGAUCUAGGAAUUUGGCCUAAUUAUGCUAGUAGACAGACAUUGGAAGUAAAACUAUAAAAUCAUCUACCUAAAGAGUGUUAAUUACCAUAUGAUAAAAAUUGUUUUGGUAUAGUACCAGCUAGUUGCUUUCUAAACAGACAUUUUUAUUUAAUCUAAAAGUGACUGUACUUAGUGGAAACUUGGCCUUUUAGAGGUCCCCAUUGUAAUUUUUUCAUAGAAGUCCUUACAUUUUGCCAUGUGUCACCAAGCAAACAUUUGUAUAGGCAUUUAAAUAUAGAUUGAAACAUUUCAUUAGGAAAUGCCCAAAAUGGCCUGAUAUCUUCCACGUGGCCUAUAUUACUGACAUUCCCAAAUCCCAAACACAUAGGUUUUUUUUUUUCAAAAGCAUUACAUUUUCCUUUGUAGUUUCAUCUCCUUAUAAGACUGGCAGGCUGGAGAAGCCUGUGAAGCCACUGUUAGUGUCAGUUAGAAACUCUGAGACUUUAUUAAUGUAAAUUCUCAAUUUGGCUGCUGAACACGUGCCAAAGUUUUACUACUGUAGUGACCGUUGAGAAGACCCUUGUUUAUUUACAUUUGAAGCACUGUUUGUGCAAACAACCUUUCAUUGUUAAGUGCCUGUAUUCCUUUCAUUUACUUCAUGUCCAGGGGUGCUAUUUACCUAGAACCAUUGUCUACUACAAUUAACAUUUACAUUACAAAGUGUGUGGUUUUCUUUCUCAAGGAGGUUCAAUUAAGGCAAUAAGAUGUUUGCUGGGGAAACCUAUUGUUUACUGAAAGCACUCAAUGGAGUCAAAUUACUGAAGCUUUUUGCCUACAUCUUGGUCUUUUAUGUAAAUGUGUUAAAUAUAAAUCUAAGGAAAAUAAACAAUAUUAUAAUUAUGUGUUUGCCAUUGUCAUAUCAAACUUGCUUUGUAUCAUACUAAUGUUACAUAACUUAUCGAUCAAUAAAAAUACAUUUCAAUG
This is a long non-coding RNA of Phacochoerus africanus (Common warthog), 3428 nucleotides long. RefSeq lists it as uncharacterized. The record is from RefSeq and is a predicted model, not a curated record. The transcript has 4 exons. NCBI's taxonomy places the organism in Eukaryota, Metazoa, Chordata, Mammalia, Artiodactyla, Suidae.